GGAAGGGCUGUGGCUCAGGGGAAGAGCAUCUGCUUGGCAUGCAGAAGGUCCCAAGUUCAAUUCCCAGAAUUUCCA
RNAcentral lists this transfer RNA (75 nucleotides) under Sphaerodactylus townsendi. Its description in RNAcentral is "tRNA-Ala". It matches the Rfam family "tRNA". Rfam says of the family: Transfer RNA (tRNA) molecules are approximately 80 nucleotides in length. Lineage: Eukaryota; Metazoa; Chordata; Lepidosauria; Squamata; Sphaerodactylidae. The record is from RNAcentral.